CAGGCAUUCCUUCAACAGCAAGAGCUUCUCGGGGAUACUGCAGUGUACCCGCGCAUGCAAGCAGUUGCUGCAGUGUUACCACUCCACUAUGUCUCCCUGUCAUGGCUUUUGCGCCAUCAGUACAGACACCAACACAUCUUGACCACCAAAGUCCAUUUUAUGUCUUAAAGCUGUCCAGUAGUUUAAAAAUAUCCUCAGCUGUUGUCCUGGUUUCCAGUGGUUUGCAGAAGAGGAUGUCUUCCUUAAUUGACCCCUCAUAAACAUAACGGAUAAAUAUACCAAGAGCUGUGCCAGGCCCUCCAUGUCUGUUUCUGUUGACUCAUCCAGGUGGAACGCAUAGAAUUCACUGGCUUGUAUGCGAAGCAGUAAUUGUUUUAAAACAUCUCCUGCCAUGUCACUGAUGAGUCGUGAAACAAUGUUGUUUGAUGAAGUAAUUGUCUGUAUAGUCUUUUUGGGCCUUUCCCCCAGCCAUAUCUGCGGCAGCAGGAAGAAUGAAGUCCUCCACAAUAGUAUGUGGCCUGCCUGUCCUAGCCACUCGGUAGCUCAUCAUAUAAGACACUUCUAGCCCCUUCUUAUUAAUGGUAUCUGUUGCUUUUAUACAUGUCUUACUACUCAAAAUUCAUUUCAAUUCUUGCUCAAAAAACACCUGGGGCAAAUUUUUCAAAUUGGCAUGUUUUGUUUCUAAAUGUCUGUGCAAGAGUGAAGAUUUCAUCGAGUUGUGAGAUAGAACACCCUGUAGCUGAGGAAAGGCACUACUCCCAAUCUAAGUGCACGCACCAGCCCUCACUGGAUGGAACACACCAGUCCCAGUUGGACAGCACGCACCAGCCCUCACUGGAUGGAACGCACCAGCUCCAGUAUGAUGGCACGCACCAGCCGCAUGGCAGCCAUGUGAUGGUUGUAGGGACGAGGUCGAACAAAUCCUCCGUGACAAGGGAAGGAUGGAGGAAGUAAUUUUGAGAAUAGACCCAGUCCAGAUCCGAGAGCUGCACGCUCUCAUUGACAUCAUUGGAGAAACACUGUUAGCUACAGGAGAGAAGGCCAUCGGUGCCAUCCGGCGAGCAAGAGUUGUUUCCUGACAGUGGCAUGUUCCUCUCAUCAUUCUGCCAUCCAUCAGGCAUCUAAGCAAGAUUGCUUGCGUCUGUUCAUUUUCUUUUUGACCAUUUUGUCUCAGUGGAAGAAUGUGUCAAUUCAGUUGCCUUUGGACGCCAUGGCAAGAUCCCCGAAGGGAAACUAGUCCUCGAACUGGAAAAAGGUCAGCGGAAUUCUAACCUACAUUUUGCGUUGUGCUACCUUGGAUGGUUGGACCGGAAUCGAUGAAGCAAAACUGAAGGCAUUCAUCAACAAGUGAAGGUCCAGAGCAGGACAUACAGAGUAGUGACUACUAAAAUAUUUUUGUUUGUGUACAAUGUGCAAUGUUCAUAUUUGCAAUAAGGUUAAUUUAAGAACAUACUGUUAUGGGCUUACUGGUGUCACAUGUAGGUUCGACUUUUUGUUCACUACAUCUGGUGGGUGACAACUGGCUAUUUUCAUCUCUACAAUAUUAUUUUUGGGUUUACCUAAUGUUUUAAAUCAGGUACAAGAGCACAUGCUGUAUAUUAAUUUUAUUUACGUUCUUACAUUCAAUGGAACCCAAUCUGUGUUGGGAAUGAAAAGUGAGAUGCAUUGUUAAUAUAAUAAGCACUGUUGAAUACAUUUGUUGAACUGUAUCAGUUUAUUCUUAUUGUUUAACAGGUAAUCAUAAUUAAUAAUAUGGCAAAUUAAUGCUAACAAAUGAAAUUCUCAAUUGUGUCUCAUAUCUCAUUAAUCAAGUUCAUGUAUAGCUUCUGUAGUAAUUAUAAGAGAAAUACAUGAGACAUGGAGGAGACGUUGCACAUACAAUGUAGAGCACUCCUUUAUGGCUCAUACUUAGAUAUUUCUGAAAUGAUCACCUCCGAUUAAGAUCAUUAGUCUAAUAAGUCUCAAACUUGUGUCAGGAAUUUAUCAUUAUUUGUCCUUCAAAUAAGAGGCAAGAAUGAGCGCAACGGUAUACAAUGAUAAGACCUCCUCUGCUGAUCAUACUUCUCGAAUACUGCUAAAACCAUCAUCUCAACUCAGCUUCAUGUGUCCUAUAUACACUACUGUUCAAAAGUUUGGGGUCACUUAGAAAUGUCCUUGUUUUUGAAAGCAGAUUUUUUUGUCCA
Molecule: long non-coding RNA, 2183 nt
Organism: Oncorhynchus tshawytscha (Chinook salmon)
Lineage: Eukaryota; Metazoa; Chordata; Actinopteri; Salmoniformes; Salmonidae
Exons: 3
Source: RefSeq, a predicted model, not a curated record